Molecule: ribosomal RNA, 253 nt
Filed under: uncultured bacterium
Lineage: Bacteria
Description: partial 16S ribosomal RNA
Rfam family: Bacterial small subunit ribosomal RNA
Source: RNAcentral
UACGAAGGGGGCUAGCGUUGCUCGGAAUCGCUGGGCGUAAAGGGCGCGUAGGCGGCCAUUCAAGUCGGAGGUGAAAGCCCAGGGCUCAACCCUGGAAUUGCCUUCGAUACUGUUUGGCUAGAGACCGGAAGAGGUAAGUGGAACUGCGAGUGUAGAGGUGAAAUUCGUAGAUAUUCGCAAGAACACCAGUGGCGAAGGCGGCUUACUGGUCCGGUUCUGACGCUGAGGCGCGAAAGCGUGGGGAGCAAACAGG